CACACCGCCCGUCACACCAUGGGAGUUGGUUUCACCCGAAGGCAGUGCGCUAACCGCAAGGAGGCAGCUGACCACGGUGGGAUCGGCGACUGGGGUG
RNAcentral lists this ribosomal RNA (97 nucleotides) under uncultured bacterium. RNAcentral describes it as "partial 16S ribosomal RNA". It matches the Rfam family "Bacterial small subunit ribosomal RNA", at positions 1386 to 1482 of the family's 1533-position model. The record is from RNAcentral.